This is a long non-coding RNA of Saccostrea cuccullata (small rock oyster), 737 nucleotides long. RefSeq lists it as uncharacterized. The record is from RefSeq and is a predicted model, not a curated record. The transcript is spliced from 3 exons. Lineage: Eukaryota; Metazoa; Mollusca; Bivalvia; Ostreida; Ostreidae.
AUACCUAGCAAACCUGUCAAGAGAAAUUUCAAGGUUGGUACUUGUACAUGUAGCAAUAAAAAUAUCUGUAUAAAUUCAACAAUAUUGCAAAAUAUUCACUUCUGCAGAAUAAUUAAUAGCAUAAGUAGCCUUUGUGGGGUGAUGAAGAGGGAAUGAAAAGUUGAAUAGGUCCAGGGUUUUCAAAGACUGUUUACUAUUACUAAUAGGGUACAUUAAGAAUUGGAUAGGUGGGUCUUCCCUGUCAAUUAAAUUACCAUUAUUGCCUCAUAUGUGGGCUGCAUGAUUAUAAAGAAUCUCAUUAAACAAAAUAUUUUUUUUUUUAGAUAUUUAUGAAAUGUUAUGAAGAUGGCUACAGUUAUGAUUUUAGGCUUUGGCUGCUUUUCAUGUAUGAAUAAAGGAAAAAGAGUUGUCAAAUACUUGUGCAGACUUUUCAAAUUAAAGGUCACUGGGAUCAUGUGUUCCUUGACAGAUUAUUCAAAUUCAUUUCCCUGGUUAGGGCUGGGCUUUACAAUGGGAUUUUCAGCUGUGGAGCUAUAAAGAAUUACUACAUAAGGUUUCCAAUGUAGUUUUGCGAACAGAAUCCAGAAAUAAGAAGAGGAGAGACAAUGCAGAUGCAGCAUUAGCAUUACCAAUUACUUACCACUGCUGAGAAAAUGGUACAUGCUUUGAGUACUACUUUUGUGUAUUUGGAGGGAGUCCAGUUGUUCUUUAAACCAGAAGUGGAAAUUUUAGUGCUU